UGCCAGCAGCCGCGGUAAUACGUAGGGUGCGAGCGUUAAUCGGAAUUACUGGGCGUAAAGCGUGCGCAGGCGGACUGUUAAGCAAGAUGUGAAAUCCCCGGGCUUAACCUGGGAAUGGCAUUUUGAACUGGCAGUCUAGAGUGUGUCAGAGGGGGGUAGAAUUCCACGUGUAGCAGUGAAAUGCGUAGAGAUGUGGAGGAAUACCGAUGGCGAAGGCAGCCCCCUGGGAUAACACUGACGCUCAUGUACGAAAGCGUGGGUAGCAAACAGGAUUAGAUACCCUGGUAGUCCACGCCCUAAACGAUGUCAACUGGUUGUUGGGGGAGUGAAAUCCCUUAGUAACGAAGCUAACGCGUGAAGUUGACCGCCUGGGGAGUACGGUCGCAAGAUUAAAACUCAAAGAAAUUGACGG
This 412-nucleotide ribosomal RNA is filed under the name uncultured Thiobacillus sp. Its description in RNAcentral is "bacterial SSU rRNA". It matches the Rfam family "Bacterial small subunit ribosomal RNA", at positions 506 to 916 of the family's 1533-position model. Lineage: Bacteria; Pseudomonadati; Pseudomonadota; Betaproteobacteria; Nitrosomonadales; Thiobacillaceae. The record is from RNAcentral.